RNAcentral lists this ribosomal RNA (1374 nucleotides) under metagenome. RNAcentral describes it as "bacterial SSU rRNA". It matches the Rfam family "Bacterial small subunit ribosomal RNA". The record is from RNAcentral.
GAGUUUGAUCCUGGCUCAGGACGAACGCUGGCGGCACGCUUAACACAUGCAAGUCGAACGAGAGAAGAGGAGCUUGCUUUUCUGAUCUAGUGGCGGACGGGUGAGUAACACGUGAGCAAUCUGCCUUUCAGAGGGGGAUACCGAUUGGAAACGAUCGUUAAUACCGCAUAACAUAAUUGAACCGCAUGAUUUGAUUAUCAAAGAUUUAUCGCUGAAAGAUGAGCUCGCGUCUGAUUAGCUAGUUGGUAAGGUAACGGCUUACCAAGGCGACGAUCAGUAGCCGGACUGAGAGGUUGAUCGGCCACAUUGGGACUGAGACACGGCCCAGACUCCUACGGGAGGCAGCAGUGGGGAAUAUUGCACAAUGGAGGAAACUCUGAUGCAGCGAUGCCGCGUGAGGGAAGAAGGUUUUAGGAUUGUAAACCUCUGUCUUCAGGGACGAAAAAAGACGGUACCUGAGGAGGAAGCUCCGGCUAACUACGUGCCAGCAGCCGCGGUAAUACGUAGGGAGCGAGCGUUGUCCGGAAUUACUGGGUGUAAAGGGAGCGUAGGCGGGAUCGCAAGUCAGAUGUGAAAACUAUGGGCUUAACCCAUAAACUGCAUUUGAAACUGUGGUUCUUGAGUGAAGUAGAGGUAAGCGGAAUUCCUAGUGUAGCGGUGAAAUGCGUAGAUAUUAGGAGGAACAUCAGUGGCGAAGGCGGCUUACUGGGCUUUAACUGACGCUGAGGCUCGAAAGCGUGGGGAGCAAACAGGAUUAGAUACCCUGGUAGUCCACGCCGUAAACGAUGAUUACUAGGUGUGGGGGGACUGACCCCUUCCGUGCCGCAGCAAACGCAAUAAGUAAUCCACCUGGGGAGUACGACCGCAAGGUUGAAACUCAAAGGAAUUGACGGGGGCCCGCACAAGCAGUGGAGUAUGUGGAUUAAUUCGAAGCAACGCGAAGAACCUUACCAGGUCUUGACAUCGUAUGCAUAGCUCAGAGAUGAGUGAAAUCUCUUCGGAGACAUAUAGACAGGUGGUGCAUGGUUGUCGUCAGCUCGUGUCGUGAGAUGUUGGGUUAAGUCCCGCAACGAGCGCAACCCUUACUGUUAGUUGCUACGCAAGAGCACUCUAGCAGGACUGCCGUUGACAAAACGGAGGAAGGUGGGGAUGACGUCAAAUCAUCAUGCCCCUUAUGACCUGGGCCUCACACGUACUACAAUGGCUGUCAACAGAGGGAAGCAAAGCCGCGAGGUGGAGCGAACCCCUAAAAGCAGUCUUAGUUCGGAUUGUAGGCUGCAACCCGCCUACAUGAAGUCGGAAUUGCUAGUAAUCGCAGAUCAGCAUGCUGCGGUGAAUACGUUCCCGGGCCUUGUACACACCGCCCGUCACGCC